Small nuclear RNA from Culex quinquefasciatus (southern house mosquito), 92 nucleotides. The record is from RefSeq and is a predicted model, not a curated record. Lineage: Eukaryota; Metazoa; Arthropoda; Insecta; Diptera; Culicidae.
CUUAGCUUCGGCUAAACAUAUACUAAAAUUGGAACGAUACAGAGAAGAUUAGCAUGGCCCAGCGCAAGGAUGACUGGCUUUAUGGCUUUAUU